RNAcentral lists this long non-coding RNA (217 nucleotides) under Lathyrus oleraceus (garden pea). RNAcentral's name for it is "Pisum sativum (pea) long non-coding RNA (PSAT_LNC028178)". The record is from RNAcentral. Lineage: Eukaryota; Viridiplantae; Streptophyta; Magnoliopsida; Fabales; Fabaceae.
AUUUUAUCACUUUAUUUAUGAUUGCUUUAUUUAGAAAGUUUCUAUCACAAGAAUAACAUUAACCCUUUUUUCAAGAAGAAGAAAAAUGAAAAUUUGAUUCAACGUCAAGUAUUUUCUCAAAGACAAAACUACCCAACCAUUUAAAACCCUUAUAUUCAAUCCAUUUCUACCAUUCCCAAUUUCUCAAAAUUUUCAUCUUCAACCAUUUUCAAACUCU